Molecule: unclassified non-coding RNA, 339 nt
Filed under: Hevea brasiliensis (rubber tree)
Lineage: Eukaryota; Viridiplantae; Streptophyta; Magnoliopsida; Malpighiales; Euphorbiaceae
Source: RNAcentral
AAAAUUUUAAUUUUUAUGUUUUUUAAAUAAUAAACCUUAUUUUUUAUUUUAAAUAAUAAUGAUAAAAAAGAAAGCUAAAACACACUGAAAGGAGAAAGCAUUUCCAAAAAAUCACUGGCGGCAUCUUAUUUCCUCCAAAUGAAAAAACAAUCAAUUUUUUGGGCUGUGCUUUUGAGAGAAUUCUGAUUCCAAAAGGAUUUAGCAAGCAUUUUCAUAAAUAAUCAAAAUAUUUCCAUGAAAAAAUUAAAGAGGAAUUUCAUAAUCAGAAACAUACAAAAUCCAAAUUGUUUUUGGGGAGGGUUUUUUUUUUAUUUUAUUAAUUGGGCAGGUUGGGGAACA